This is a long non-coding RNA of Quercus lobata, 350 nucleotides long. RefSeq lists it as uncharacterized. NCBI's taxonomy places the organism in Eukaryota, Viridiplantae, Streptophyta, Magnoliopsida, Fagales, Fagaceae. The record is from RefSeq and is a predicted model, not a curated record. The transcript is spliced from 2 exons.
UUCUCUUUCUUUUUUCUUUUCUUUUCUAGCAUUUCGUCUCUUCACUUUUCUUUUUUCUUUUUUUCUCUAGCAGUUCGUCUACUCCAGAUCAUUCAAGAAACUCUCUCUCUCUCAAAUGGGUCAGAUGGGUCCCUUUUUUCUCCUCCCACCACUUUUGUAACCGUUGAGAUAGAGAAGCACGAGAGAGUGAAGAUUGAAGAAUGAAAGAGAAAAGGGAUGAGAGAGAAAGAAUUAUUUUUUUUUUCAACCGGGUAUUAUUUUAAGCAUGAAUAUUGUUUAGAUAUGUUACAGUAUUUGCUACAGUACCCUCCAUGUUAAGAGAGCUACUGUAGCAAAUCUAAAAAAAAAAA